CAGUCGCCGCGGGAAUACGUAGGUGGCAAGCGUUGUCCGGAAUUAUUGGGCGUAAAGGGCUCGCAGGCGGUUUCUUAAGUCUGAUGUGAGAGCCCCCGGCUCAACCGGGGAGGGUCAUUGGAAACUGGGAAACUUGAGUGCAGAAGAGGAGAGUGGAAUUCCACGUGUAGCGGUGAAAUGCGUAGAGAUGUAGAGGAACACCAGUGGCGAAGGCGACUCUCUGGUCUGUAACUGACGCUGAGGAGCGAAAGCGUGGGGAGCGAACAGGAUUAGAUACCCGUGUAGUCCCUGUCUCUUAUAU
RNAcentral lists this ribosomal RNA (301 nucleotides) under uncultured bacterium. RNAcentral describes it as "partial 16S ribosomal RNA". It matches the Rfam family "Bacterial small subunit ribosomal RNA", at positions 509 to 809 of the family's 1533-position model. The record is from RNAcentral.